UGAGGAAUCUUGCGCAAUGGGGGAAACCCUGACGCAGCAACGCCGCGUGAGUGAAGAAGGCCUUCGGGUCGUAAAGCUCUGUCAGAUGGGAAGAAAUUGAUGGGGGCUAAUAUCGUCCAUCCUUGACGGUACCAUCAGAGGAAGCACCGGCUAACUCCGUGCCAGCAGCCGCGGUAAUACGGGGGGUGCAAGCGUUGUUCGGAAUCAUUGGGCGUAAAGCGCGCGCAGGCGGCUUGGUAAGUCAGAUGUGAAAUCCCUGGGCUUAACCCAGGAAGUGCAUUUGAUACUGCCUCGCUAGAGUACGGGAGAGGAAAGUGGAAUUCCUGGUGUAGAGGUGAAAUUCGUAGAUAUCAGGAGGAACACCGGUGGCGAAGGCGACUUUCUGGCCCGAUACUGACGCUGAGGUGCGAAAGCCGGGGGAGCGAACG
RNAcentral lists this ribosomal RNA (428 nucleotides) under uncultured prokaryote. RNAcentral's name for it is "bacterial SSU rRNA". It matches the Rfam family "Bacterial small subunit ribosomal RNA", at positions 355 to 774 of the family's 1533-position model. The record is from RNAcentral.